Molecule: small RNA, 105 nt
Filed under: Halpernia frigidisoli
Lineage: Bacteria; Pseudomonadati; Bacteroidota; Flavobacteriia; Flavobacteriales; Weeksellaceae
Description: Flavo-1 RNA
Rfam family: Flavo-1 RNA
Source: Rfam by way of RNAcentral
UACUAGCCGCGGGUGAAGUGGCAUCCUUUUUUUGCUUACUAAGUCUUUUUUUUUAAAGAAUAAAUUUCCAGCAAAAAAAAGAUAUAACGGAACACGGGAACCAUC